AAAACAUAGAAAUUGCAAACAUGCUUGUCCACCAAUCUUUUCUUCUGACUUUUUUUUUUCUGUAAAAAUUGUACAUUAUGACUCUGAAAAACUAAAGGAAUUCAUUUCUUGAAACGCAAACUAUAGUAGUGUGAGUAUUUUCAUUUUUUUAACAUUAUACUAUUUUGAAAAAAAUAAAAUAAAAUAGGUAUGUGACGUACCGAGAGAGUCAGGAUGGAAGUGUUUAACAUUUCACUUACAAAUGCAAAAUGUAGCGGUGCGUUUUGAUCUGUAUCGUGAAUCCUCACUGCUGCAUGCUACACACACACACACACACACACACACACACACACACACACACACACACACACACACACACACACACACACACACACACA
Molecule: long non-coding RNA, 377 nt
Organism: Labrus mixtus (cuckoo wrasse)
Lineage: Eukaryota; Metazoa; Chordata; Actinopteri; Labriformes; Labridae
Exons: 2
Source: RefSeq, a predicted model, not a curated record